RNAcentral lists this ribosomal RNA (403 nucleotides) under uncultured bacterium. RNAcentral describes it as "partial 16S ribosomal RNA". It matches the Rfam family "Bacterial small subunit ribosomal RNA", at positions 28 to 526 of the family's 1533-position model. The record is from RNAcentral.
GACGAACGCUGGCGGCGUGCCUAAUACAUGCAAGUCGAACGCAGUGGGGACGGGGGAUGAACACGUGGGUAACCUCCCGUCAGAGGGGAUAACACUUGGAAACAGGUGCUAAACCGAUACUGAUGGAUGGACCCGCGGUGCAUUAGCUAGUUGGUGGGGUAACGGCUCACCAAGGCCACGAUGCAUAGCUGGCCUGAGAGGAUGAUCAGCCACACUGGAACUGAGACACGGCCCAGACUCCUACGGGAGGCAGCAGUGGGGAAUCUUCGGCAAUGGACGAAAGCCUGACCCAGCCACGCCGCGUGAGUGAAGAAGGUUUUCGGAUCGUAAAGCUCUGUUGUUAGAGAAGCGGUAUCUAACCAGAAAGCCACGGCUAACUACGUGCCAGCAGCCGCGGUAAUAC